CGAGUGAAAGUUUCUGGUGAGUUCCUUCGUACCUUCAGUCUGUUAUCUGCAUUAUUAUGUUUAACCUACCUACUAUAUUUCGAGGUAAGUAGCUUUAACCUUUGGUCUAGUUGCUCAUGUCAAAAUGGACAUGGUAAAGGGUCAAUUUAUAUACGAUAACAAUAAAAAAAAUUAGAGACAAAAGUCUUGCAUAUGUAUGGGUAUAAAUACUCCUUCCUUAG
RNAcentral lists this long non-coding RNA (221 nucleotides) under Gossypium barbadense (sea-island cotton). RNAcentral's name for it is "long non-coding RNA (GBAR_LNC015368)". The record is from RNAcentral. Lineage: Eukaryota; Viridiplantae; Streptophyta; Magnoliopsida; Malvales; Malvaceae.